UCACGGAUUCUUCCCGCCAAAA
This 22-nucleotide microRNA is filed under the name Lotus japonicus. Its description in RNAcentral is "lja-miR11120-3p". The record is from miRBase by way of RNAcentral. Lineage: Eukaryota; Viridiplantae; Streptophyta; Magnoliopsida; Fabales; Fabaceae.